UACGAAGGGGGCUAGCGUUGCUCGGAAUGACUGGGCGUAAAGGGCGCGUAGGCGGAUGGCACAGUCAGAUGUGAAAUUCCUGGGCUCAACCUGGGGGCUGCAUUUGAUACGUGUGGACUAGAGUGGGGAAGAGGGUCGUGGAAUUCCCAGUGUAGAGGUGAAAUUCGUAGAUAUACGGAGGAAUACCGGUGGCGAAGGCGGCCGCCUGGACCAUUUCUGACACUGAGACGCGAAAGCGUGGGGAGCAAACAGG
RNAcentral lists this ribosomal RNA (253 nucleotides) under uncultured bacterium. RNAcentral's name for it is "partial 16S ribosomal RNA". It matches the Rfam family "Bacterial small subunit ribosomal RNA", at positions 524 to 776 of the family's 1533-position model. The record is from RNAcentral.